Molecule: ribosomal RNA, 497 nt
Filed under: uncultured bacterium
Lineage: Bacteria
Description: partial 16S ribosomal RNA
Rfam family: Bacterial small subunit ribosomal RNA
Source: RNAcentral
GAUGAACGCUGGCGGCGUGCCUAAUACAUGCAAGUCGAGCGAACAGACGAGGAGCUUGCUCCUCUGACGGUAGCGGCGUACGGGUGAGUAACACGUGGAUAACCUACCUAUAAGACUGGGAUAACUUCGGGAAGCCGGAGCUAAUACCGGAUAAUAUAUUGAACCGCAGGGUUCAAUAGUGAAAGACGGUUUUGCUGUCACUUAGAUAUGGAUCCGCGCCGCAUUAGCUAGUUGGUAAGGUAACGGCUUACCAAGGCAACGAUGCGUAGCCGACCUGAGAGGGUGAUCGGCCACACUGGAACUGAGACACGGUCCAGACUCCUACGGGAGGCAGCAGUAGGGAAUCUUACGCAAUGGGCGAAAGCCUGACGGAGCAACGCCGCGUGAGUGAUGAAGGUCUUCGGAUCGUAAAACUCUGUUAUUAGGGAAGAACAAAUGUGUAAGUAACUAUGCACGUCUUGACGGUACCUAAUCAGAAAGCAACGGCUAACUACGUG